GUAGGCGCGGGGACGGGCGGGCCGCCGGGGGAAGCCAGAGCCGGGCCGCCGGGGAGCUCCUGCGCCGGGCACAGGCGCCCCUGUCAUCUCGCCGGGAGGCAGGAGUUUCUGGUACAAAAGGAGGCGCCGGGACGGGCGGGCCGCCGGGGAAGCCAGAGCCGAGCCGCCGGGGAACUCCUGCGCCGGGCACAGGCGCCCCUGUCAUCUCGCGGCGAGGGACCUUGUACGGAUCUAUCACAGGCCAGAUCAGGAACGGGGUUGGGGCAGCAGUAUCUUGCAGGUUGCAAAAUAUAAGUCGUCAGUAUGCAGAACUGCAGCAAGCUCAAUAAGCUGCCAAUAAUUGUUGAAGAGGACGAAUCAGACAGGGGCGACGGGUAUAACAGUCCACCAUGAACUUCUGCAGGAAUUUCAUUGGCGACCAAGCGAUUCAUAAUAUUCACCUGGAGGACGACAGUUCUCUGGCGCCAUAUUACCUUCACGACAUAUUACAUCUCAAGGGGAACAAUACAAGGAGGCCACAUCAGUUCAUCGAGUCUAUCGACGAAUGAUAAAGGAUACAGUUUCAAGCGAAUAUGAGGGUGUAACAAACUGAUGUAUCUUGGGGGCAUUUUUUGCCUGAGACUGUUUCUGUUGGAGCAAAGUGUUUGUACCAUAAUGAUCUAGAUUAUCUAUGUGGACCUAUAUAUUAUUGUCAGCACAACAUGGAAUGAAUUUGAAUGUCAAGUACAAACCACGGUAUUCGGGCA
Molecule: long non-coding RNA, 746 nt
Organism: Triticum dicoccoides
Lineage: Eukaryota; Viridiplantae; Streptophyta; Magnoliopsida; Poales; Poaceae
Exons: 4
Source: RefSeq, a predicted model, not a curated record